CCUACGGGAGGCAGCAGUAGGGAAUAUUGCUCAAUGGGGGAAACCCUGAAGCAGCAACGCCGCGUGGAGGAUGAAGGUUUUCGGAUUGUAAACUCCUUUUGUUAGAGAAGAUAAUGACUGUAUCUAACGAAUAAGCACCGGCUAACUCCGUGCCAGCAGCCGCGGUAAUACGGAGGGUGCAAGCGUUACUCGGAAUCACUGGGCGUAAGGAGCGCGUAGGCGGGAUAGCAAGUCAGAUGUGAAAUCCUAUGGCUUAACCAUAGAACUGCAUUUGAAACUGUUAUUAUAGAGUAUGGGAGAGGUAGGUGGAAUUCUUGGUGUAGGGGUAAAAUCCGUAGAGAUCAAGAGGAAUACUCAUUGCGAAGGCGACCUGCUAGAACAUAACUGACGCUGAUGCGCGAAAGCGUGGGGAGCAAACAGGAUUAGAUACCCGUGUAGUC
Molecule: ribosomal RNA, 440 nt
Filed under: uncultured bacterium
Lineage: Bacteria
Description: partial 16S ribosomal RNA
Rfam family: Bacterial small subunit ribosomal RNA
Source: RNAcentral